Molecule: long non-coding RNA, 668 nt
Organism: Pseudopipra pipra
Lineage: Eukaryota; Metazoa; Chordata; Aves; Passeriformes; Pipridae
Exons: 2
Source: RefSeq, a predicted model, not a curated record
CUACACAACUCCUGGUGGACACAAAGGAUCAUGUUCCAAGCAGAUUCCCCAUCAUGCAAGACACUUGCGAGAUUACUUGUGCACACCCACAAGGUGUGAGUCAUUGGUCUGAUAACUACUCGUUCCUCUUGUUUUCACGGGUUUAGCAACUACCUGGUUACACCAAUGCAAAUGAGUGGAGGAUGGCACCCAUCAGAUUGGCCUCUCUGAAGAAAACAGGUCAAACAACAAACUGAGUUCCUUGAAAGUCAGGAUGUUCCCAAGGGAUUCAGAGUUACUUUAACGAGAGCAUCACCUCGCCUCUCACAAGUUUUGCAGUGCACAGUGCACUGGGCCUCUGACUCAGGGACAGCUCUGGCCAAUGGAAGAGAGAGACCUCAAAUAACAAGGAAACAAUUACACCCCACUGCCCUGAUUUACAAAGGCAACAUGGCUCUCAGAAAGACAAGCUUUGUUGGGUGCAACAAAGCUGCAAUACCAUGGAAAUACCUCUGGAAAUACCAUGUGGCCUCGACUGAGAGGGGAGAAAUGUCCCACUGAAGAAAUCUGUCUGUGCAGCUCCCAGCAGAGCAGGCUCCUGCUUUUCCCUGCUAUCAGAAGCAGCCAGAAAUACCCACCCAGCCAGAUGCUUGCUACAUAGGAAAUUAAAAGAAGAGCUAAAUCUACAA